Molecule: long non-coding RNA, 236 nt
Organism: Cyprinus carpio (common carp)
Lineage: Eukaryota; Metazoa; Chordata; Actinopteri; Cypriniformes; Cyprinidae
Source: Ensembl
AUGGAAGCUGAAGAUACUGAGCAAGCACAGGCACAGGGAGAGGACAGCCAAGGACUUGGUGCUGCUUCCUGGAGGGGAGAACAGAUACACGUGUGUCAGCGCCUCGUUUCAUGUUACAGCGUGUCACAGAGUGAGUUCAUUUAUUUUGUUUCAUAUUAUAAAUAUUAUUGUGCACUCAAAGAAGAGAGAGAAACAUUUUGUAAUGUUUAUAUUAUGUCAGCAAUAAAUAUAAUUUG